GACGAACGCUGGCGGCGUGCUUAACACAUGCAAGUCGAACGGAAAGGCCCUGCUUUUGUGGGGUGCUCGAGUGGCGAACGGGUGAGUAACACGUGAGUAACCUGCCCUUGACUUUGGGAUAACUUCAGGAAACUGGGGCUAAUACCGGAUAGGAGCUCCUGCUGCAUGGUGGGGGUUGGAAAGUUUCGGCGGUUGGGGAUGGACUCGCGGCUUAUCAGCUUGUUGGUGGGGUAGUGGCUUACCAAGGCUUUGACGGGUAGCCGGCCUGAGAGGGUGACCGGCCACAUUGGGACUGGGAUACGGCCCAGACUCCUACGGGAGGGAGCAGUGGGGAAUAUUGGAAAAUGGGCGGAAGGCUUGUGCAGCAACGCCGCGUGGGGGAUGGCGGCCUUCGGGUUGUAAACCGCUUUCGCCUGUGACGAAGCGUGAGUGACGGUAAUGGGUAAAGAAGCACCGGCUAACUACGUG
Molecule: ribosomal RNA, 468 nt
Filed under: uncultured bacterium
Lineage: Bacteria
Description: partial 16S ribosomal RNA
Rfam family: Bacterial small subunit ribosomal RNA
Source: RNAcentral